Molecule: long non-coding RNA, 201 nt
Filed under: Elaeis guineensis (African oil palm)
Lineage: Eukaryota; Viridiplantae; Streptophyta; Magnoliopsida; Arecales; Arecaceae
Description: long non-coding RNA (EGUI_LNC072984)
Source: RNAcentral
UUGUUUCUCAAACCAAAUCAAACCAAAACCAAAUCAACCCAAUUAAAAUAAACCCAAUUAAGAACCUAAUUUAAUCAGAUUAAAUUAGAUUUAAAUCUGAUUUAAUUUUCUAAUCGAAUUAGAAAUUAGGUUGACCCAAGUUCUAAUUGAACUAGGACUAGUUUUUUCUUGCACUUGGCUUAUCCAAUAAACCAAUUGGAC